This 209-nucleotide ribosomal RNA is filed under the name uncultured Anaerolineaceae bacterium. RNAcentral's name for it is "partial 16S ribosomal RNA". It matches the Rfam family "Bacterial small subunit ribosomal RNA", at positions 1176 to 1382 of the family's 1533-position model. The record is from RNAcentral. Lineage: Bacteria; Bacillati; Chloroflexota; Anaerolineae; Anaerolineales; Anaerolineaceae.
GGGAUGACGUCAAGUCAGCAUGGCCUUUAUAUCCUGGGCUACACACACGCUACAAUGGUCUGUACAAUAGGUUGACCAAGCCGCGAGGCGGAGCCAAUCCAUAAAGCAAGGCUUCAGUUCAGAUUGCAGUCUGCAACCCGACUGCAUGAAGAUGGAGUUGCUAGUAACCGCAGGUCAGCUAUACUGCGGUGAAUACGUUCCCGGGUCUU